RNAcentral lists this transfer RNA (71 nucleotides) under Spizixos semitorques (collared finchbill). RNAcentral describes it as "tRNA-Leu". It matches the Rfam family "tRNA". Rfam says of the family: Transfer RNA (tRNA) molecules are approximately 80 nucleotides in length. Their secondary structure includes four short double-helical elements and three loops (D, anti-codon, and T loops). The record is from RNAcentral. Lineage: Eukaryota; Metazoa; Chordata; Aves; Passeriformes; Pycnonotidae.
GCUUUCAAAGGAUAACAGUAAUCUAAUGGUCUUAGGAGCCAUCUAUCUUGGUGCAAAUCCAAGUGAAAGUA